RNAcentral lists this ribosomal RNA (509 nucleotides) under uncultured Bifidobacterium sp. RNAcentral's name for it is "bacterial SSU rRNA". It matches the Rfam family "Bacterial small subunit ribosomal RNA", at positions 164 to 688 of the family's 1533-position model. The record is from RNAcentral. Lineage: Bacteria; Bacillati; Actinomycetota; Actinomycetes; Bifidobacteriales; Bifidobacteriaceae.
UAAUGCCGGAUGCUCCAGUUGAUCGCAUGGUCUUCUGGGAAAGCUUUCGCGGUAUGGGAUGGGGUCGCGUCCUAUCAGCUUGACGGCGGGGUAACGGCCCACCGUGGCUUCGACGGGUAGCCGGCCUGAGAGGGCGACCGGCCACAUUGGGACUGAGAUACGGCCCAGACUCCUACGGGAGGCAGCAGUGGGGAAUAUUGCACAAUGGGCGCAAGCCUGAUGCAGCGACGCCGCGUGAGGGAUGGAGGCCUUCGGGUUGUAAACCUCUUUUAUCGGGGAGCAAGCGAGAGUGAGUUUACCCGUUGAAUAAGCACCGGCUAACUACGUGCCAGCAGCCGCGGUAAUACGUAGGGUGCAAGCGUUAUCCGGAAUUAUUGGGCGUAAAGGGCUCGUAGGCGGUUCGUCGCGUCCGGUGUGAAAGUCCACCGCUUAACGGUGGAUCCGCGCCGGGUACGGGCGGGCUUGAGUGCGGUAGGGGAGACUGGAAUUCCCGGUGUAACGGUGGAAUG